This is a long non-coding RNA of Megalops cyprinoides (Indo-Pacific tarpon), 641 nucleotides long. RefSeq lists it as uncharacterized. Lineage: Eukaryota; Metazoa; Chordata; Actinopteri; Elopiformes; Megalopidae. The transcript has 3 exons. The record is from RefSeq and is a predicted model, not a curated record.
GGGGAGAGAGAGAGAGAGAGCGAGAGAGAGAGAAUGAAUGCAGUUUGCAGUCCUGCACUGUGGAAUUACAGCAAAGCAAAUUUGUAGGGACUCCAAAAAAAAAAAAAAGAGGGGCACGCGAGUGAGCGAGGAAGGACCAGUUGUCAGUCUUGACUGAAACGUUGAAUCCACCUCAGCGAAGAAUACAGGAGGAGAAAGGGAAGGGGAGAGAGAGAGAGAGAAAGAGAGGGGGGGGUCAUUCGUGUUUUUCUUAUUCCAUCUCCGGAACGGCCUGAAAAAGCCAGUGUCAUUGCAACUGCGCUUCACUCACCUCUCCCCAGCGUCGGCGUGCGCUCAUAAUAGCGGUCCUAUUGGUAUUCCAGCGACGGUUCCCCGGGAUCUCUCUCUGCUCCCUCUCAGGAUGAAAUCACAGUGCCGGAAUUGUGCUUGCCUGUGGAGAAGGAACUGAAAUGGGGCUCAAGCCUCCUUGUACUGUCAAUCUGUUUUGGGGCCACUUCCACCUGUUCCAGGGGCCACACUUCCCGCCAUGGGGCUCCGCCCCCGCAUGCUAACCGCCAGCACCCCCAGAGACCCCCCAACUCCCUCAGACCUCUCACCGCACUGAUACCUCACAAGGGAGCCGGAACCAUACAAACCGAAGG